Long non-coding RNA from Mytilus californianus (California mussel), 705 nucleotides. RefSeq lists it as uncharacterized. The transcript is spliced from 2 exons. The record is from RefSeq and is a predicted model, not a curated record. Lineage: Eukaryota; Metazoa; Mollusca; Bivalvia; Mytilida; Mytilidae.
UUUUAUACGACCGCAAAAAAAUUUUUGUGGUCGUAUAUUGGUAUGACAUCGGCGUCGUCGUCGGCGUCGUCCGAAGACACAUUGGUUUUCGCACUCUAACUUUAGUUUAAGUGAAUGGAGCUCUAUGAAAUUUUACCACAAGGUUCAAUACCACAAAAGGAAGGUUGGGAUUGAUUUUGGGGGUUAUGGUACCAACAGUAAAGGAAUUAGGGGCCAAAAAGGGGCCAAAAAUAAGCAUUUUUGUAACUUCCAGACAUAACUUGUGUGUUAGUGUAUGGAUCUCUCUGAUAUUUUACCACAAGGUUCCAUAUCACAAAAGGAAUGCUGGGAUUGAUUUUGGGGGUAAUUGCCUCAAAAUUUUAGGAAUUAGGGGCCAAAAGAGGGGCAAAAAAACAAGCAUUUUUCUAGUUUCAUGACAAUAACUUGUGUGUAAGUGUAUGGAUCUUUCUGAAAUUGUACUACAAGGUUCCAUAUCACAAAGGGAAAGCUGGAAUUGAGUUUGGGGGUAAUUGCCAAAUCAUUUAGGAAUUGGGGGCCAAAAAGGGGCCAAAAAUAAGCAUUUUUCUAGUUUCCAGACAAUAACUUGUGUUCAAGUGUAUGGAUCUCUCUGAAAUUGUACUGCAAGGUACCAUACCACAAAGGGAAGGCUGUGAUUGAGUUUGGGGGUGAUGAAUCAUAAGGGGGUUCAAAAAAUUGGGGGGGGGG